Molecule: ribosomal RNA, 619 nt
Filed under: uncultured bacterium
Lineage: Bacteria
Description: bacterial SSU rRNA
Rfam family: Bacterial small subunit ribosomal RNA
Source: RNAcentral
GGCCUACCAAGGCAACGAUGCAUAGCCGACCUGAGAGGGUGAUCGGCCACAUUCGGACUGAGACACGGCCCAAACUCCUACGGGAGGCAGCAGUAGGGAAUCUUCCACAAUGGACGAAAGUCUGAUGGAGCAACGCCGCGUGAGUGAUGAAGGUUUUCGGAUCGUAAAACUCUGUUGUAAGGGAAGAACAAGUGCGUUAGGUAAUGAACGCACCUUGACGGUACCUUAUUAGAAAGCCACGGCUAACUACGUGCCAGCAGCCGCGGUAAUACGUAGGUGGCAAGCGUUGUCCGGAUUUAUUGGGCGUAAAGCGCGCGCAGGUGGUUUCUUAAGUCUGAUGUGAAAGCCCACGGCUCAACCGUGGAGGGUCAUUGGAAACUGGGAGACUUGAGUGCAGAAGAGGAUAGUGGAAUUCCAAGUGUAGCGGUGAAAUGCGUAGAGAUUUGGAGGAACACCAGUGGCGAAGGCGACUGUCUGGUCUGUAACUGACACUGAGGCGCGAAAGCGUGGGGAGCAAACAGGAUUAGAUACCCUGGUAGUCCACGCCGUAAACGAUGAGUGCUAAGUGUUAGGGGGUUUCCGCCCCUUAGUGCUGCAGCUAACGCAUUAAGCACUCCGC